GAUGGUUCUGCUAUCACUCUUGGGAUGGACCUGCGGUGCAUUAGCUAGUUGGUAGGUAAUGGGCCUACCAAGGCGAUGAUGCAUAGCCCGAGUUGAGAGACUGAUCGGGCCACAUUGGGGACUGAGACACGGGCCCAAAACUCCUACGGGGAGGCAGCAGUAGGGAAUCUUCCACAAUGGACGCAAGUCUGAUGGAGCAACGCCGCGUGAGUGAAGAAGGGUUUCGGCUCGUAAAAGCUCUGUUGUUGGUGAAGAAGGACAGGGUAGUAACUGACCUUUGUUUGACGGUAAUCAAUUAGAAGUCACGGCUAACUACGUGCCAGCAGCCGCGGUAAU
Molecule: ribosomal RNA, 336 nt
Filed under: uncultured Lactobacillus sp.
Lineage: Bacteria; Bacillati; Bacillota; Bacilli; Lactobacillales; Lactobacillaceae
Description: bacterial SSU rRNA
Rfam family: Bacterial small subunit ribosomal RNA
Source: RNAcentral